AACGCGAAGAACCUUACCCAGGCUCGAAAUGUAACGGCUAGUACCAGAGAUGGUAUGUUCCGCAAGGACUGUUAUAUAGGUGCUGCAUGGCUGUCGUCAGCUCGUGCCGUGAGGUGUUUGGUUAAGUCCAGCAACGAGCGCAACCCUUAUCAUUAGUUGCCAACACGCGAGGUGGGGACUCUAAUGAGACUGCCUGGGUUAACCAGGAGGAAGGUGAGGAUGACGUCAAGUCCGCAUGGCCUUUAUGUCUGGGGCUACACACGUGCUACAAUGGUCGGUACAGAAGGCAGCAAGACCGCAAGGUGGAGCAAAUCCCUAAAGCCGAUCCCAGUUCAGAUUGUCGUCUGCAACUCGACGACAUGAAGUUGGAAUUGCUAGUAAUGACGUGUCAGCUACAACGUCGUGAAUACGUUCCCGGGCCUUGUA
RNAcentral lists this ribosomal RNA (426 nucleotides) under uncultured Chlamydiae bacterium. Its description in RNAcentral is "bacterial SSU rRNA". It matches the Rfam family "Bacterial small subunit ribosomal RNA", at positions 958 to 1385 of the family's 1533-position model. The record is from RNAcentral. Lineage: Bacteria; Pseudomonadati; Chlamydiota; Chlamydiia.